GGGGUCGCAAGAUCUCGCGCUACCGGAUGGGCCCGCGCCCGAUUAGCUAGUUGGUGAGGUAAUGGCUCACCAAGGCAACGAUCGGUAGCCGGCCUGAGAGGGUGAUCGGCCACACCGGAACUGAGACACGGUCCGGACUCCUACGGGAGGCAGCAGUGGGGAAUCUUGCGCAAUGGGCGAAAGCCUGACGCAGCAACGCCGCGUGGAGGAUGAAGGCCCUUGGGUUGUAAACUCCUGUCGGCUGGGAAGAAAUCGUACGGUGCUCAUACCGCCGUGCGUUGACUGUACCAGCAAAGGAAGCCCCGGCUAACUCUGUGCCAGCAGCCGCGGUAAUACAGAGGGGGCUAGCGUUAUUCGGAAUUAUUGGGCGUAAAGGGCGCGUAGGCGGCCUUGCGUGUCUUUCGUGAAAUCCCUCGGCUUAACUGAGGACGUGCGGAAGAAACUGCAGGGCUUGAGUCCGGGAGAGGGGGGUGGAAUUCCCAGUGUAGCGGUGAAAUGCGUAGAUAUUGGGAGGAACACCGGUGGCGAAGGCGGCCCCCUGGACCGGUACUGACGCUGAGGCGCGAAAGCGUGGGGAGCAAACGGGAUUAGAUACCCCGGUAGUCCACGCCGUAAACGAUGGGCACUUGGUGUCGCGGGUAUCGACCCCUGCGGUGCCGAAGCUAACGCAUUAAGUGCCCCGCCUGGGGAGUACGGUCGCAAGGCUGAAACUUAAAGGAAUUGACGG
This 727-nucleotide ribosomal RNA is filed under the name uncultured bacterium. RNAcentral describes it as "bacterial SSU rRNA". It matches the Rfam family "Bacterial small subunit ribosomal RNA", at positions 196 to 916 of the family's 1533-position model. The record is from RNAcentral.